RNAcentral lists this ribosomal RNA (253 nucleotides) under uncultured bacterium. RNAcentral describes it as "partial 16S ribosomal RNA". It matches the Rfam family "Bacterial small subunit ribosomal RNA", at positions 524 to 776 of the family's 1533-position model. The record is from RNAcentral.
UACGGAGGGUGCAAGCGUUGUCCGGAUUUAUUGGGUUUAAAGGGUGCGUAGGCGGUCCGUUAAGUCCGGGGUGAAAGCCCACUGCUCAACAGUGGAACUGCCCUGGAAACUGGCGGACUUGAGUACAGACGAGGGUGGCGGAAUGGAUGGUGUAGCGGUGAAAUGCAUAGAUACCAUCCAGAACCCCGAUUGCGAAGGCAGCUGCCUAGACUGUAACUGACGCUGAGGCACGAAAGCGUGGGGAGCAAACAGG